RNAcentral lists this ribosomal RNA (97 nucleotides) under Carassius langsdorfii (Japanese silver crucian carp). Lineage: Eukaryota; Metazoa; Chordata; Actinopteri; Cypriniformes; Cyprinidae. The record is from RNAcentral.
UAUGCCCGAUCUCGUCUGAUCUCGGAAGCUAAGCAGGUUUGGGCCUGGUUAGUACUUGGAUGGGAGACCGCCUGGGAUUACCAGGUGCUGUAAGCUU